GCCGAUGUGGCGGAAUUGGUAUACGCGCACGACUCAAAAUCGUGUCCCGUAAGGGUUGUGGGUUCGAGUCCCACCUUCGGCA
Molecule: transfer RNA, 82 nt
Filed under: bacterium
Lineage: Bacteria
Description: tRNA-Leu
Rfam family: tRNA
About the family: Transfer RNA (tRNA) molecules are approximately 80 nucleotides in length. Their secondary structure includes four short double-helical elements and three loops (D, anti-codon, and T loops). Further hydrogen bonds mediate the characteristic L-shaped molecular structure. tRNAs have two regions of fundamental functional importance: the anti-codon, which is responsible for specific mRNA codon recognition, and the 3' end, to which the tRNAs corresponding amino acid is attached (by aminoacyl-tRNA synthetases). tRNAs cope with the degeneracy of the genetic code in two manners: having more than one tRNA (with a specific anti-codon) for a particular amino acid; and 'wobble' base-pairing, i.e. permitting non-standard base-pairing at the 3rd anti-codon position.
Source: RNAcentral